CGCGUAGGCGGAUCGUUAAGUCAGAGGUGAAAUCCCGGAGCUCAACUUCGGAACUGCCUUUGAUACUGGCGAUCUUGAGUAUGAGAGAGGUAUGUGGAACUCCGAGUGUAGAGGUGAAAUUCGUAGAUAUUCGGAAGAACACCAGUGGCGAAGGCGACAUACUGGCUCAUUACUGACGCUGAGGCGCGAAAGCGUGGGGAGCAAACA
Molecule: ribosomal RNA, 207 nt
Filed under: uncultured Brevundimonas sp.
Lineage: Bacteria; Pseudomonadati; Pseudomonadota; Alphaproteobacteria; Caulobacterales; Caulobacteraceae
Description: partial 16S ribosomal RNA
Rfam family: Bacterial small subunit ribosomal RNA
Source: RNAcentral